Molecule: long non-coding RNA, 1016 nt
Filed under: Vitis vinifera (wine grape)
Lineage: Eukaryota; Viridiplantae; Streptophyta; Magnoliopsida; Vitales; Vitaceae
Description: long non-coding RNA (VVIN_LNC004220)
Source: RNAcentral
UAAAAUUGAAUCAAAUAACUUAUUGAAAAUAAUUGUUUGUAAAUAAAUAAAUUGAAAUCAUUAAUUCAAAAUUGUUUUUAAUAAACUCCUUAGAAAUUUCUUGAAAAAGUAAUUUUUUGAAAUAUUCUUUUUUUAAUCAGUUUAAUAAAUCAAUAUGCUUAAUUCUUUUGUCUUUUACCUUGUGCAUUCUUAUAAAUACUUUUAUGAUUAUUUUCCUAUACAUUAAUUUGUAUCCUUAAUCUUAAUAUCCAUGAUUAAUUAAUUAAUUAAUUGUCAUAAUUUCUUCAAUUCAUUUAGUAGAAACUAUAGGUAUACGGGCUUAGAGGGGUACUACGACUUUUCAUUGUACUUUCCUGAUAGGUAAUUUAAUCCCCAAAUCUAAACUCGGUUUUUGGACACAUGUUUUUUUUUUUUUUAAAAAAAAAAAAGUCACAUAGGGUUUUCUUAUUUAGUUUUCCCUUUUAAAAAUAAACUAAAAUAAGUAGUGACUCAAACUUGUUCAAAAAUCAAAUUUUCACAAAUAAAAAAUGAGUCUCACCGUUUCGAGUGGGAAUGCAAGUAAAAAAUGUGGGUUCACACACGGUAAUGUAUUUACAAAUUGAAAUUAUAAGAGUGCUCAGGAAGUGAUCAGACUAUGUUCAAGGUUCAAGAUAUGGGUCAUGACUAAACCAUUUGAGUGCAGUUGAAUCUCUUGAUGAAGAGAUAGAAAAGUUGCAAUAAAAGAUCACAAAGUUACAGGAGUUUAAAACUACAAUUACCACUGCGUUGGUGGUGUUGAAGACAAUGAUAUAGAGUUUUAAGCCACAACAUUAUUAGCUUUCCAAGAUGAAAUAAUUUUAUCUCCAAUUGUAAUUAAAGCAUUUGAAGACAAAAUUUGUUUGUUAUCGAAACUGUCUAUCAAUAUUUUGGGACAAAAACAUUUCCUUCCCAAAUGUAAGUGGAAAUAUUUAGAGGCAAAAUUAUUUUGUUUCAAAAAUUGUUCAUCAACAUAAUGGAGAUGAAAAUAUUUUGCCCCC